UUAUGGCCAUCCGAUGGCUUCUGAUCAACGCGGUUGAUGCGUCUCGCGACUUGCUCGUCCCGACAGUUUCCACCUUCCGUCAAGCCAUUCCCCACCAUCUCCACUGUAGCUAGGGUUUCGAUCGGCAAGCUGAACGCGCCGGCGGCUAGAGAGUGCGCGCAAGAGGGCGUCGAGUUCGUCCAUGGAGAGCUAGCCACGCGCAGGGAGAGGGAGAUCGUUCGAGGGCGAGGCGCGAGGGAGUGCGCCUAGCUCAGAGGCGGAGGUCGACCCGCGCGUGAGGGUGAUCGAGAUCAGAUAUGAAGAACGAAGAGCGCCAUAGGGAUUCGAGCUUGGAUUCGUGAUUUACGAAAGCGGCGGCGUUUACAUCGUGGAUCCUGAGAUUCCUGGAUCAUUUCAACGAAAAAUGGAGGAUAACGGAAGGAAGUACAUUAGCUCCCUAGAUGACAAUGCAACAUAACUCUUACUCGUUGCUUUUUGGUUUGGCAAGAAUCUGGAUAGGAGCAAGGUGGGUGCUUGAUCUGCUUGAAGCAACCAACAACCAGAUUUUGGAAGAUGUCAACUAGUCGAGAUUUGUUUUCUUCAUUCUUGGUCUUUUUCCAACUAUCGUUGUUAUGUCAACAAGUAAUAUAAAGUUGUAGAUUUCUAUAGCUAUGUCGAGCGUUAAGAUAUUAGAGAUUUCCUGUGUCAGUUGAUAUUUUCAACAUGCGCAAGAUACAAACUGAUGUAUUUUAGCCAAUUUUGAGCAAUAUGUACCAUUUUUGUGA
This is a long non-coding RNA of Lolium perenne, 764 nucleotides long. RefSeq lists it as uncharacterized. Lineage: Eukaryota; Viridiplantae; Streptophyta; Magnoliopsida; Poales; Poaceae. The record is from RefSeq and is a predicted model, not a curated record.